CACCCCGCCUUCGACGGUUCGGGAAGACGCAGCCCAGGUGCCGCGUCUCUCGCCGGACCCCGUCCGCCGACCCCGCGGCGGGAAGCUCGCGCGGUCAGCCUGCCUGCGGUCACCGCCACGCACCCAGGUCGCGUGCCCUCCCCAGGAAAGCCGGCCAGGCAGUGGGGACCCUGACUCACCUGGAGACCCCGCACGUGGGGUUCACUUGGAGGCAGCCAGUGAUGUCUGGGGUCCGAGCUUGUGGCUUUCCCUCGGACUCUGAGAUCUGGACACAUCCCAGGCCCAGUGUGUGGUCCCCGCACCAGGUCCACUGAGUGGAACUUUGUGGAGACAGGACACUUAGAAACAGUGAACCAACGUCCUGCUUCAGAAGCAAAGAAAGGUGGUCCCGCGGGCUGGAGAGUGAGCCUCUGCACGGUCCUGCGGGACAGCACCACAGGGGGUCCGCUUCUGCCGUCAUGAACACCAAGAACACUUCGAAACCGUUUUCUGCUUCCCCGAGUAUUGCGUGUUCAUUGAAGAAAAGAUGCAAAACACAGAGGCAAAGAUGAAGUAUUCCAGCACACAGAGAAAACCCCUGUUAACGUGUUCACACAUACCUUCGAGAGUGUUUUCCAAGCCUGUGUAUGUCUAACAACAACGAGACUAUGUGGAGUAUUCCCGUAUGUAUAUGCACAUAUAUAUUUUACUUCAUUUGAA
Suricata suricatta (meerkat) is the source of this 699-nucleotide long non-coding RNA. RefSeq lists it as uncharacterized. The record is from RefSeq and is a predicted model, not a curated record. NCBI's taxonomy places the organism in Eukaryota, Metazoa, Chordata, Mammalia, Carnivora, Herpestidae. The transcript has 4 exons.